This 497-nucleotide ribosomal RNA is filed under the name uncultured bacterium. RNAcentral's name for it is "partial 16S ribosomal RNA". It matches the Rfam family "Bacterial small subunit ribosomal RNA", at positions 28 to 507 of the family's 1533-position model. The record is from RNAcentral.
GAUGAACGCUGGCGGCGUGCCUAAUACAUGCAAGUCGAGCGAACAGACGAGGAGCUUGCUCCUCUGACGUUAGCGGCGGACGGGUGAGUAACACGUGGAUAACCUACCUAUAAGACUGGGAUAACUUCGGGAAACCGGAGCUAAUACCGGAUAAUAUAUUGAACCGCAUGGUUCAAUAGUGAAAGACGGUUUUGCUGUCACUUAUAGAUGGAUCCGCGCCGCAUUAGCUAGUUGGUAAGGUAACGGCUUACCAAGGCGACGAUGCGUAGCCGACCUGAGAGGGUGAUCGGCCACACUGGAACUGAGACACGGUCCAGACUCCUACGGGAGGCAGCAGUAGGGAAUCUUCCGCAAUGGGCGCAAGCCUGACGGAGCCACGCCGCGUGAGUGAUGAAGGUCUUCGGGUCGUAAAACUCUGUUAUUAGGGAAGAACAAAUGUGUAAGUAACUAUGCACGUCUUGACGGUACCUAAUCAGAAAGCCACGGCUAACUACGUG